This is a long non-coding RNA of Nannospalax galili (Upper Galilee mountains blind mole rat), 569 nucleotides long. RefSeq lists it as uncharacterized. The record is from RefSeq and is a predicted model, not a curated record. The transcript is spliced from 3 exons. Lineage: Eukaryota; Metazoa; Chordata; Mammalia; Rodentia; Spalacidae.
CCGUGGGAGGCCGCCUUUCCGCAUCACCGUCUCCUGUGCGACAUGGCAGCCUUUUGCUUGGACCUGGUCUCCCAUGGCUGUUUCUUCCUUUUCACCUGUGCCCUUGGUCUCCGUACUGAAUCACCAUGGAGACGAAGCCCUCACACAAAGUCCUAUCUGUGAUGGUAUCACCACCUGCUGGCUGCAUGGAUGAACUGGGAAGCCAGAACAGAGGGCACAUUUGGCCUUUGGAUGACAUGAGGAAGAAGUGAUACCAGCAGACAUCUGUGUCUGGCAGAACUUGGAGCUCACGGGCAGACCCACGCAAGCAUGUGCAGUCAGGAUCACUGUGGCCCAGGCACCUGCCAUUCUAGAUGCAAUGAGGAGGGAAGAAGACGGACAGGGUCUCAGCAGAGUUCCUUGACCGUGACCUUUGCCCUGUUCAAGGCUGAAACCACGGCAAGCUCCUGGCCUGGGUCCAGCCUCCCUGGAUCACCACAGCAGGGCAGACUUGCUGGAAACUUGACUUUAAAGCAUGCUUUUCUUUUCAUUUAGUUUUUUUCUGAGACAGGACUGCGUGCAUCCCAUUC